GUAGCCGAGUGAUUAAGGCGAUGGACUGCUAAUCCAUUGGGGUUUCCCUGCGUUGGUUCGAAUCCCAUC
RNAcentral lists this transfer RNA (69 nucleotides) under Schistosoma margrebowiei. It matches the Rfam family "tRNA", at positions 7 to 64 of the family's 71-position model. Rfam says of the family: Transfer RNA (tRNA) molecules are approximately 80 nucleotides in length. Lineage: Eukaryota; Metazoa; Platyhelminthes; Trematoda; Strigeidida; Schistosomatidae. The record is from Rfam by way of RNAcentral.